Molecule: ribosomal RNA, 252 nt
Filed under: uncultured bacterium
Lineage: Bacteria
Description: partial 16S ribosomal RNA
Rfam family: Bacterial small subunit ribosomal RNA
Source: RNAcentral
UACGGGGGGGCAAGCGUUGUUCGGAAUUACUGGGCGUAAAGGGCUCGUAGGCGGCCAACUAAGUCGGAUGUGAAAUCCCCAGGCUUAACCUGGGAACUGCAUCCGAUACUGGAUGGCUUGAAUCCGGGAGAGGGAUGCAGAAUUCCAGGUGUAGCGGUGAAAUGCGUAGAUAUCUGGAGGAACACCAAUGGCGAAGGCAGCUUGCUGGGACGGUACUGACGCUGAGGCGCGAAAGCGUGGAGAGCAAACAGG